This is a long non-coding RNA of Felis catus (domestic cat), 2260 nucleotides long. RefSeq lists it as uncharacterized. The transcript is spliced from 7 exons. The record is from RefSeq and is a predicted model, not a curated record. NCBI's taxonomy places the organism in Eukaryota, Metazoa, Chordata, Mammalia, Carnivora, Felidae.
UUGUGUGAACAAAUGACUCAUAAUGCCUAUUGAUGCCAACCUUGGAAACACAAGAAUUGAAAGUGUUAGAGAAGGUCUAUAGGACUCUGAAGACCAAAACCCCAAUGUAGAAAGAUGGGGAGAGUGAAAUCAGAAACAUCCAAGAAUGGACCUUGCUUUCAGAAGAAAUAACAGUUUGCAGUUAGCAUUAUAUGCUUUGGGUAAUUAAUUUCAUAAGUCAAGGUGUUAAGCUAGCAUUCCCAAACUGAAUCCUGAGGAAUUCUUGGAAUAUUAUAUAAGGAAAGAAGAAUCCUAUGGUCAAAAUACCUGAGAAACCUUAAACUGAGCAGAAGAAGCUUGAUCAUUGGUAAGAAGAUAAGCCGGAAAAGAAGGAGAAGCUUUAUGUCUAAACUCUCAUUCAUUGAGCAACCACAUAAAAGUAAGGUUUUCAGAGGAGGAGAAAUUCUAAGUGAUGAAAAGGCCCAGAAUAUGCCCUUGGAAAUUAAUGGCUAGAGUGGAGAUGAAGGUUACUGGAGUAUAAGAGAUCAAGAAAUGGAUUGGUUUGGAGGCUGGAAAUCCAAGAUCAUGGUGCCGUCCCAGUCAGUGUGCUUUGGAGGCCUCCCCCACUGAGAGUGAAGCCUAGGGCUCCUCCAAUUGCAUCUGCAAGAGCUCGGGACUGCUCUAACCAAUAGGGUGCAGCAGGGUGAUGCUCUGUGACUUCUGAGGCCAGCUCACAAAAAGACAACAGCAUUCAGCUAGCUCUCUCCUUAGGAUGUUUGUUCUGGGAAAGCCAGCUAUCAUGCUAAGAGGAAGCCUAAACUCACCACACAAGAGACCACAAAGUUUCACCUGGAGAGAAACUGAGGCCUUCAGCCAAUAACCAGCAGCACCUAUUGGACAUGGCUCCAGAAGCUGAAACUGAGGAAUCACCCUAGAGAAGUGUUCUACUCUUGGAGACCGGAUUGAGAUGAUGAGAUCCCAGACUUUAAGCUGAGGCUUCAAUGGGAUGAGAUCUGUAGGGCUAGAGGGAAGGCAUGAGUAUAUUUUGCAUGUGUGGGUAUUUGAAUUGUUAUGUCCAGAAGACAGAUUAUGGCAGAUGUUAUUUCAUACAAGCAACAAUGUCUCCAUUUACAAUAGCUUACAAUGUGAUGGCUCCUCCCACUGAAAGGUGAGGUCUUUGUUCUCUCCCCUUGAGUUGGGGCAGUGGCUUGUGAUUGCUUCAACCAAUAGAGUAAGGCAGAAGGGAUGCUACGUGACAUCCAGGGCUAGAUCUUUGCGGGACACUGGCUCCUCUCUGAGAAAGCCUCCUAUCAGGCUGUGAGAAAGUCCAAAUUAGCCCAGGUAGAGAGAACAUGUAGAGAGGCCCCAAGAAGAGGAACAGAGGCCCCAGCCAAUAUCAAGGUUGAGUAAAGAAGCCUCCAGAUGAUUCAGGAUGCCUCAGCUGCUGCCAUGUGGGACAGAGAUGAGCUAUAUACAUCAAGCUUUGUCCAAAUUGCAGGUUCAUGAACAAUAGAUAAAUUCUGUUUUUGUUUUGAGCCACUAAUUUUGGGGGUAACUUGUUAUGCAGCAUUAAAUUGCCAUAACAAAGGUAAAUCCCUGUAUCAGAAGGCAGAGUCUGGCAUUGGGAGGUAGAAUCCGAAAUUAGAGUAUAGCCCUGAAAUGGGAAACACCUUAUGCGAAGGUUAAGCCCUGUAUCAGGAGGAAGAAACACAAGAGUUAUGGCCUGCUCUGUACCCCUCACUGGGAGACCUGGGACAAGACAUCUGAAUGUCUCAAGGUCUUAGGUGCGUCAUCUGAAAAAAAGACAUGAUAACUUCUUUCACCGAAAAGGAGAUACUCUUGAGAUUACUUUAGAUUCUGCCCCAGACUUUGUGAUUCUAAAUUGCCAUUUAUUCAUUCAAAUACUCAUUGUGACCUGAAACUGUGAUCAAACUUAGAAUUUAUUUCCAAAUGGAAAGCCUCCACUGAGAAAUGGGGUAGAAAAAUAGCAUCAGUAGUAGUAAAAAAAAAAAUCUCAUCACUUCCUUUUUGUGUCUUCUAAAAUAUUCCCUCACCAAUCUUCACCAUACUCUGUUCAUAUGUACAUCUUUAACUGAGGUUACUCUUAAAGGAUAAGAGAAAAUACAAAUGUGUAUAUUUUCCUUUCAAAAAAGUAGCAGCAAAGAAUGAAAUUAACUCUUCUCUUUUGCAAUUAGUCCCUAUGCUACUAAGAAAACAUCCUCAUUUUUCUGAGUUCUUGUAAAUAAUAUCCUUUGCAAGCAAAGAUCUUCAUUCUUAAGUA